RNAcentral lists this transfer RNA (72 nucleotides) under Rhodinocichla rosea. Its description in RNAcentral is "tRNA-Lys". The record is from RNAcentral. Lineage: Eukaryota; Metazoa; Chordata; Aves; Passeriformes; Thraupidae.
CAUUAAGAAGCUAUGAACCAGCAUUAGCCUUUUAAGCUAAAGAAAGAGGGACACCCCCCCCCUCCUUAAUGA